This 1651-nucleotide ribosomal RNA is filed under the name marine metagenome. Its description in RNAcentral is "bacterial LSU rRNA". It matches the Rfam family "Bacterial large subunit ribosomal RNA", at positions 377 to 1986 of the family's 2925-position model. The record is from RNAcentral.
AACGAAAAUGAUGAUCUUGCUGGAAUCGACACCGAGUAACACGGGACACGAGAAAUCUUGUGUGAAUCUGCCGGGACCAUCCGGUAAGGCUAAAUACUCCCAUGUGACCGAUAGUGAACUAGUACCGUGAGGGAAAGGUGAAAAGUACUCCUAACGGAGAGUGAAAUAGAACCUGAAACCGUAUGCCUACAAGCAGUCAGAGCUCCAGUUAUCUUCGGAUAGCGGAGUGAUGGCGUGCCUUUUGCAUAAUGAGCCAGUGAGUUACUCGUAUAUUGCAAGGUUAAGACUGUAAGGUCGGAGCCGUAGCGAAAGCAAGUCUGAAUAGGGCGUUGAGUAAUAUGCGGUAGACCCGAAACCGAGUGAUCUAGCCAUGGCCAGGAUGAAGUCCCGGUAACACGGGAUGGAGGUCCGAACCCACCAGCGUUGAAAAGCUGGGGGAUGAGCUGUGGUUAGGGGUGAAAGGCCAAUCAAACUCGGAGAUAUCUGGUUCUCGCCGAAAUGCCUUUAGGGGCAGCGUCAUGUUAGUGUACCGGGGGUAGAGCACUGAAUGGGCUAGGGGGCCUACAAGCCUACCAACCCCAAUCAAACUCCGAAUACCGGUAUUAUUUUGCAUGGCAGUGAGCUCAUGGGGGAUAAGCUUCAUGAACAAAAGGGAAAGAACCCAGACCAUCAGCUAAGGUCCCAAAGUCGAUGCUAAGUGAUAAAGGAUGUCAAAUCGCCCAGACAGCUAGGAGGUUGGCUUAGAAGCAGCCAUCCUUUAAAGAAAGCGUAAUAGCUCACUAGUCAAGGGGUUUUGCACCGAUAAUUUCCGGGACUAAGCAUCGCACCGAAGCUAUGGAUCACGACAUUUGUAUGUCGUGAUGGUAGGCGAGCGUUCCAUCGACCGUCGAAGGUUGACCCGUGAGGGCAGCUGGAGGAAAUGGAAAUGAGUAUGCUGGCAUGAGUAGCGAUAAAGCCUGUGAAAUGCAGGCUCGCCGCAAGCCCAAGGUUUCCUGAGUAAAGUUAAUCUGCUCAGGGUUAGUCGGACCCUAAGCCGAGGCCGAAAGGCGUAGGCGAUGGAAAACAGGUUUAAUAUUCCUGUACCAGUACAACAUUGUUUGAACUAAGGGGGGACGCAGAAGUGAAAGGUCAGCCCGGUUUUGAUUGUCCGGGUUUAAGUGUGUAGGGAGUCCUGGUAGGCAAAUCCGCCGGGACAUAAAUCCUGAGACACGAAUAGGAGAGCUUAGCUCAUAAACUGACCCUAAUCAUACUGCCAAGAAAAUCCUCUAUGUUAGAUGCUGCGCUGACCGUACCGUAAACGGACACACGUGGGCGAGGAGAGUAUCCUCAGGCGCUUGUGAGAAUCCAGGUUAAGGAACUCGGCAAAUUAGCCCCGUAACUUCGGGAGAAGGGGUGCCCUUAUUAGGUGAAAGACUUCGCGUCUGGAGCUGAACAGGGCCGCAGUGACCAGGCUCAAUCGACUGUUUACUAAAAACACAGGUCUCUGCUAAGUCGCAAGACGAAAUAUAGGGACUGACACCUGCCCGGUGCUGGAAGGUUAAAUGGAGAGGUUAGCACUUCGGUGCGAAGCUUUGAAAUGAAGCCCCAGUAAACGGCGGCCGUAACUAUAACGGUCCUAAGGUAGCGAAAUUCCUUGUCGGGUAAGUUCCGA